RNAcentral lists this long non-coding RNA (830 nucleotides) under Ananas comosus (pineapple). RNAcentral's name for it is "long non-coding RNA (ACOM_LNC004885)". Lineage: Eukaryota; Viridiplantae; Streptophyta; Magnoliopsida; Poales; Bromeliaceae. The record is from RNAcentral.
AGAGAGAUAUAAUUGAUUGAACAUAAAUGAUGUGGUAUAAAUACUAUACAGUAGACUUUCUCCUCUUCAUUCAAAAGUCAUCAUUCCUUGUCAAUCAACUUGUUUUUAAUUAAAAUUUAGAUUAAAUUACAUAAAAUUUUUCUGUCAAAAUUCGAUUUUUCACUUUUUUCCAUGUUAUUUAAAAACCUACACUUUACCCCAUUGUAAAAUAAAAAAUAUUUACAGGGGGAUAUGGUAUGUACUGUGAUGAUAAAAUGACCAUUUGCCCCUCGCCAUUUUCGUCUUCUCCCUCAGAUUCCUCAAGAGCAGCCUCGAUUGGCCACGGUUCACGCCUCGAUCGGUCGCGGUUUCUCCGCGGUUCACGCCUCAUCUUUCUCCUGCAUCCUCACCGCCCCUCGAUUUCGAUGACAGUAGAGUAGAAAUCGAGGUGGGGGUGGAUGAAGAGGUGGGUAACGACAACGAGGGCGAAGGCGAGGCGGCGGAGGAGGGCGCAGGGGUGUUUGUGGGCGCGGACGGGGAUGUGAGCGAGGGCAAGGCAGUGGAGGAGGGCGAGGCAGCGAGGCGGCGAGGCGGAGGAAGGCAGAGGAAGGCGAAGCAACAGGAAAAAGGGCGGAGAGAUAUUUUGGGCAUAAAAAAAAUUUUAUAACGGAACUUUAACGGAUCACUAACAGUAGGGGGCGAACUGCAUAUUUUUUAUUUUACAAGGGGGCAAAAUAUAGAUUUUUAAAUGACAGGAGAAAAAGUAAAAAAUCAUAUUUUGACAGAAAAAUUUUCUGUAAUUUAGCCUAAAAUUAUUUAAAUUUUUAUGAGCUCGGAUAUAUUUAAAUAGA